Sitodiplosis mosellana (orange wheat blossom midge) is the source of this 11152-nucleotide long non-coding RNA. RefSeq lists it as uncharacterized. The transcript is spliced from 4 exons. The record is from RefSeq and is a predicted model, not a curated record. NCBI's taxonomy places the organism in Eukaryota, Metazoa, Arthropoda, Insecta, Diptera, Cecidomyiidae.
UCUGUAUUCUACGUCAAUCAAGCUUGCACUUCGAGCACUUUAUCACUCGAAUAUUAUUUUAAAUCCUUUUCAACAGUAAAAAUAAGAAAAAAGCAGAAAUAUAAGAUUUGUGGCAAGGUACCCAACUCAAAUGUUUUCAAACAAAACAGUCCUUCGAUAUUUAUUCGAUUCACUCUCCCUCUCCCUCUCCCUCUCCCUCUCUCCCUCUCUCUCUGCCUUUCUUGCAAUGCGUUCAUUCAAGUGUUGCCUUGUUGAAAAAAUGAAAAUUUAAUUAAAUUUAGACAAAAUAUUUCGGAAAAACAUCCUGUAGCUAUUGCACAAGCUAACAUUGGGGAUCCACAAAGAUUUUGCGCGCAAUGCACAAUUCUGUUUUUAGACAUUUCCCUGGCGAUUAUUAAUGUACGCAUAUCAUUUAUUGGUCAAACUAUCGGUUUUCAAUCUUCAAAUUCUCGACAAGUAGAACAUAUGCAGUACCAGCAGCCUUCUUAUUUGUGUUGGACUGUUAUCAAUUCACUGGGCUUAUUGAAAUUUUUGUCGUAUCCGUAUGGCCAGUUUGCUCUCUUGGCUGUUCUAUAUUACAAUUUAAUCAAAUAUGCCAUGCUGGCUGCUCAAUUCGAACAUUUUUCGAACCGUUAUUGGCUGGCUAUACACACAGGUGAAUUAGAAAAAGCCGUGUCAUAUUGACACUGAGCUCGCUGCAUCCUGACAUGACUUUCACGCUGAAUGUUUCUCGAAUCGUUGCCAAACAUUAUGUUCGUCUCUCGUAUUCCAUCUAGUAAGUGUACAAUUGAUCCUCCGAAACUUGAUAUAUAAGAUACCACAACCCCCCCCCCACGGGGCCCCACCAAAUACACAAAUGCAUAUUUCAUGUUGUUGAUGUUUUUGAUGACGAAAUGCAAAUAAACUCAAUUUCAACCAUAAGACAAAUCUUAAUCUCUUCCUCUCUCAUGAGGAAAUAAUCUCACCAAAAACACUGAUAAUUUUCAUCUGUACAGGCAAACAAACAAAUUACUACAUACGUAUUUUAUAAAUAUGAGUAGUAUCUCAUUAAUGUAGUGAUCGAAAUUUUCCUCCGUAGAAAACCAUUCAUAUCAAACAGAAACUUCUAAGAAAUAAAUCACAAACAUUCACAAAAACAAAACCUACAUACAGUGGCAAGUCCACAUUUACCCUCGAAGAGAUUGCACGUCACGAAAAUGGAACAACACAAAAUGUCAAAGACAAAAUAAAAACACACAACAGAAAAAGCAAGCAACAACAACAAAAAUCCACAGUGUAAUAAAAUAAUAUAAAUAGAACUCUUCUUUUGUACAGCAAUUUCUCUAGUGAUGAUAACAUAUAUUUUUAUCGGUUAAUUUUUAGUGUAUUUUAAGCACUCAAAAAAAAAAGAAAGGAAGAAAAAACAAGAAGAAGAAACAACAACAGCAUAGAACUAACAAGAAACAAAUUGAAAAUAUUUUUUUAGUAAAUUAACAAUAUUUGAAGAGAAAACUCAGUCAAAUUCUCACACAAAAGUGAAACGAAUAAAAGAUGUCCAAAUCGUUAAUUAAAGUUUAAAAUUUACAAGAAAUUUAAUGUAAUUGCGGGAGAGAUUCGUUAACAAUGGGGAUUAUUUGAAACAAAACAAAAACUGACAUAACGCAAAAUGUUUUAUCUCAAAUUAUAACUCACAACCACAAGGAAUGAAGGAAUGAAAGGAUAACAACAACUCAAAUGGAAAACACACACACACACACACACACAGCAACUCGAUUCGAUUCAAUUUGAUCAAAUAAACUAAGAAUAUGAUAAUUUUGCGGGUAUUAAUAUUAAUAUUAAUAAUAAUGAUCUAACUCAGGAGCAAGUGCAGUCGGCAUUUUGCUCGAAAGGUGCCGAGCGAUAUUCCAGUUGUGCGCGCCUCUGUCAUUAAUAACAAAAUAUUGAAUUACUAUAUGUGUAAUAUUUAAAAGAAAUUUACAAAGAACAAACCAAACGCGUAUUUUUCAAAGAUAAAUUGACCCAUUCUUGGUUUUUCUUCUCUGUUAAAAAAUGACCUCUCGAUAGUAAAGUUUUAAGACGAAAACAGUGUCGAUAGUGGACAGCAUCAGCUCCUCAAAUAAUUAAAAAGUCGCUUCGUCUGGAAAAUUAUUUGAAUGCUAAUUGAACUCACUGUGAAAGAAACACACUGCAAUUAAAAAUGCGUGCUAAAUGGAACACAUGCCAACAGUUUUUAAAAAUCGAAAGCAAAAACAUAAAAUUUUGAUUGUCAAAUAAUGUUGAGUAAACUGCUGGCAGUUUACGAAAGAACGAAACACAAAAAAAAAAGACAAACUAAAGUUACCACCGUCACCACAGAAAAAUACAUUCGAUCUGAGCUCUUCAACAACAAUCCGAUGAAUUUCCGUGAUCAAAAUGUGCUUCGUUUUGUUUCAUUAUUUUUUCAUUGUUAUUUUAUUUUUUGUAUUUAUUUCUCUCAUUAUACACACAACACGUCGUUCUAUAGCCGAAUAGACAAACCAAAUCUAGUGAAUGAAAAACAAAAACUAAAAUUGUAUAAGAUAUAACUCCUUCUUGAACUCUCUAAAAGACGAGACUAUAAUAAUAAUUUAAUGACAAGAGGAAGAAGAAAAUAAAACGAAAUGAAUUACAAAUAGCAACAUAAUUACUAUGUUUUGGUAGGUUUUAUAUGAAAAUAUACAAUUAGAUAUUUAUUCUCUGGACGCAUGUUGUGAACAGAUUAUGAAAUGAGCAAAGUAAGACACCAGCACUCCUAAAAAAAAGGAACAGAAAAAACAAUUCAAAUCGCACAGACACGCUCAUACACGCUAACGAGAACGCAUUAAUAAUAAUUUAUAAAACCAAAAUGAAAUAUGCCUAUUAUUUGUUGAUUGUUGGGAGAAAAAAAGUUGAUGAAAAUUUAGUGAAAAUGAAUAAAUGUUGUGUGUAAGGAAUUCGUUUGUCACUAUAUGCUCAAAUAUAAAGCGAUGCUAUUGUACCUUAAAUCGUUUCUUUUUCAUUAUAUGUGGAGAAUAUCAUUUCAACGCACAAAAAGUUGUAUUAAUCAAAUAUAUUUCAUCAUUUGAAUAUAUAUUUUCUUUGAAUCGAGUCUACGGAAGAGACAGAAAAUCCCUACCAAUGAAGAACAAAAUAUAAUCCAAAUCGCUCUACAUUUAGGCCUAUAGUGAUAUAUCUGAAAAAUUGUGUGCUAUCGGUAAAUGUUCUAGACCAAAAGGAAACUAUUUUUGUUUUUCAAACUCCUUUGUUGCUACUCUUUCACUGCUGGUUGUUUUGUUUUAUUCAUAAACGGCGAAACUUUUGGGUGACAGUUGUAUUUUUUUUUUUCUUCUGAGUAACCAGAACAAUGUAUGCAUCGAAACUGAUAUUCAUUUCGAUAAUUGGAUCAAAACUAUUAUUAUUUUGCAACAAAAAAGAAAGAAAAUUUACUUUGGAAGUUAUGAACUUUACAGAACAAGUAGUGGCAACAAAUAAAUAACAACAGUACACAGAGUACAACACACAUGAAUCAAUAAUUUACUAAGAUUUCUUUGUACCUGGCGUUUUUUUUUUAACAUAAAAACGUAUACAGAAUGUGCACAAUUUUCAACCGUCAUGCUUUCAAAAUAUUUACAACCAAUUUUGUAUGCUAACAUUCAUGUUUGUUACCAACACACAAUGUAGCAAUAAACAUAGCAUUCGAUGCGAGUUAAAUGUCAUGUAAAACAGCUUACAUUGAUGUAAGAUUGACACAAAAGUCAUUUCCUUCAAUUUCGUCGGUAAACAUUUGCGCCAAUAUGUCAUCCAAGUUCGUUUGUAGCCAGGAACGAUUUUUUCCAACGUUCAUAAUCAAUGAUGUAAUAAUAAGCGAAGUUAACUUCAUCGUGGUCGACAAAAAUUUGAAUCGUUUAGCCCACUUCAACUACAAAACUAACAAAACUAACAAAGAGGCUAACCGAAUCACAAACUCAUAUUAUACCGAGCUUGGAUAAUAUUUCUUUAUUAUUGCAACAUUUUGCUGCUAUAUGCUCCAUUAUUUCAAAGGACUACAUACUAUGUGGCAUACGAAUUGCGAUCGAUGAAAAACAGAACACCCAACAAUAUUUGAGUUAAAAAUUGCAAAUUGUUUCACCAGGCUUAGAUAAGUGACGCAUUAAAAAUCCAGAGAUGUAAUAUCUCUUUAAAAAUAUCAAUCGCAGUCUACUCCUUUAGCACAAUUCUACCAAACUGUAUGUUAUUUAUUUAAAAAAAAAAAAAAAAAACGCCCGGUACAUUAAUACACUAUUAUGAAUGUCCAAACUAAAACCAACCAAAAAAUAUAUAUGUAUUUGUUUGUUAGUAUUUAACAGAUGAGAAAGUAUAUGUGAAAGAGAAGAAUUUGUCAAAAAGCUGAGAAAAGGACAAAAAAAAUAAAUAAAUAGGUGACACACACUUAACAAAUAUGAUUUAGAUUGAAAUAGUUUAGGUUUAACAACAAUUGAGGCAAAUAAUCAAUGCGAAUAAGUGAAAUGGCGUGAAGAGCAACUGAAAAGUGAAAUAAUUAUCAUCUUCGGUAAACAAAAAAUAAACAAGAUUUUUACUCCUUUUCUAGACAUGUUUUCUUUUGUACAUUUGAUCGUUUUGUAUUAGAAAAAUUGAACAAAAAGAAGAAAAAAAAAAAAAACGCAAAUUCAUAUUAAACAUGGAUCCAUAAUUCGUAUCGCAUAAUCACGCGUAGAAUAUCCAAUAAAAAAAAAUUCUGCACCUCAACGUUCUCACUACUUUUAUUUUAUAGAUGAUCUGUACUAAGAGAGACGAAUAAAAGUAAGGCCAAAGAUAUGUUCCACCGCGACAACCCCAUCGUGUGAAUUAAGGCAAUUAAAUAAUUUUUGAUGAGAUCCAAACACCAAUAAUAUGAGCACUACACUGUUAGAAAUAAUCGUAAAAUGUUGUAAAAUAUGAAAUUCAUGGUUUUCUGGUAAAAUGUAACAGAAAUUAUGUAAAUUUACCCUUGUAUUGGUUACACAGUUUCUGUCAAAUUCGCACAUUUUAACGGAAGACCGUGAUAUUUCACCAGAUUUUACGGGAUAGCUUCACGAGUAUUUCUAAUAGUGUACUUGAUAUACUACGAGAGUCUUCAUUUGAUAAUAAAACACAAUUCAGGAUGUAUAAAAAAAUCAAUCACAAAACAGCUGCAAAUUAAAAAAAAAACACACACACACACAAAAAGCCUAAAUUCAGGAGCAUCCACAACACAUACAUAUAUGAUAUUGAAAUAUACUCCCACCAAUUUCUUUUUUAUUCAUUCAACUUCUCCGGUUUAUAUUUAUAUUCUGUUUGGUCAAUUGUUCUAUAUGACGAAAAAGCCGACUGAAGUUUUUUUUACUUUUACGCAAACUUUGUUUGCUAGAUAAAGUAUUGGUUUUACUAGCCAAAAUUUCAUGACUCCUUCUCUUUCCGACCACAAAAACUCCACGAAAGACUUCAAAUAGCGCAUAACUGUAAACUAGGCAAUGUAGAUGGGAACAAAUCCUAUCGAUCAAGACCUAUCUGCCCCCACAAAUAUGUUGUUUACUAAGAAAAAUUUGCAAAAAUACGAUGUUUGUAUGGUUUCGUUUGCGUGAGCGUGCCCUUUUUUGUCCAAACGAUAAUUCAAAAAAUUGACGAGAUAAUUGAGAUCCACCAACGCUAAAAGUUUUGUAUCCAAAAAACUUAGUUUAAGUUUGAAGAUGAGCCAUAUCCGGUGUGACCUUGGGGAAAAAAACCUUGAAAAAAUGGUACAUUUGUAUGGGAAGUACUCGAAAGAAGCCUUUUUCAGGGUUUUGGUCAAGGAAAACUGGUAUUAUUUUGCAAAAUUAAUGAUCUGUGAACAACCAAACACCUAUUUCCCCAACAAUUUGAUCCGAAAUCGACAUUUUUUAAAACUUGUUUUUGGAUCCGUUUACUAUUUUUUUUCUUCAAGUUAUACGAUCGUUCGACACAACGAAUUUGAAAACAUUUCUUGGCACAAUGAUAUGCCAGUUACUUUGUGUUGACUACCAUACUUUUUUGCUAGUUGUCUAUCGGUUAUCUGAUACAUUGCUGUUGCCAACAACGAUCCGAAAGCCCUUUGUUCCACGCAAGCACUUCGUAUCGGGCGGUAAUUGUUGAUACAUACCACUCGGUAUUACAUGAUAAUGUGUGGUGUUCAUCAGAGUAGUGUUAAGUAACACCUCCGUUGACGUACAAUGCAUGACGGCCAGUAGUUUCAAAUAUAUAUGCGUUUCGAAAUCAAAAUAUACGUAUAUAAGUUGGUUAGUUCGUCGCCUAGCGAAUUAUAAUUUCAAUCAAAAUGAAAAACUCAAAAUGCAAGAAACCGUAUGAGAACGAGCGUAGCAACACUAAGUUCAUUCACAAAUGCCGGUCUUUGUCUCGUUUCGAUUCGAUAUUGACCGAUAGUGAUAGACCAAUACUAUACCAAUCCACCAAUACACAAAAUUUACUGUGCAAUAAAACGUUGUUUCGUCCCCCAGGUCUCAAAAUCCUGAAUUCCAAAUACGUCUCUUAUAUCCAAGGCUUUGCGAUAGCAUAGCUUAGCAUACAGUAUAUUGAAUGCUGCUUAAUAUACCAGCAUAUCGCGCACACACACAGCUGCCACACACACAUACUUCUCUCGCGCGCAAACGGUUGCGUACACAGACAUCGCAAUCAACUAAAACACAAAUUCUGCUGUGUAUGCAACCGUUUCGAGCGACAGAAGUGUGUGCGAUAGCUGUGUGUAUGUGAUAUGCUGGUAUACUUGACAGAGCAUUAAAUAUACUGCGUAGCCUUGGUUUUAUCUUGGUCAUAGUUCGUACCUACCAAAUCCAUUUGGAUACUUUGCCCAAAAGGUCCGACUGCGAUUAAUAUGACCGUCCAAAAUCACGAUUUUGAGCUGGGAACGAAACAGUGUUAUCUAUCACAGUGAAUAUGUUUCCCUGAUACUCACACACAGUAAACCCGUGUUCUGUAUUGUUGUGACUUAUGGAAUGAUAGCUAUAUAGGUGAAACAGAUAACUGUUGCAUUCAUUCAUACGGACAAUAUGUUGGACUUUGAAGAAUAAUACUCGGAGAUAUUGUAUGAUAGGAGAUACAAUAGAAAAUAACAGUAUACGUUGAUUUCAAUUGAAGGGGAAAAACAGAAAAACACAUAGGUGGAAUUAAACCGACCUGUUGAUUUUGACCGAGGUUAAAUAACACUAAAGCUAUCUGAUAUAUUGAUAAAAUGAAAUUCUCUAACACAAACUCAAAUGAAAGACAUGAACGCACGGUUUAAACAGUUGAAGUGAACAUACAUUGACAGAUCCCAAUAGAGGAUUGUGGUUAAGGUCGCUUGACCAAUUUAGAGCGGAUAGGCCAUGGAAAUGUUGAAACAAUUAGAUGGGAACCACACUGAAAUCUAUGAAUGGGAAGCUAAACUUUGUCUUAGACAUUGAUUCGAAUCUUACUUUAAUUCCAUGGAGCAUUUUCAACAUUUUCAAUAUCUUUCUUGAUAUUUGAUAUACCGAUGCGUGUAGUUUCUGAGAAAAAAAAAUCUCUGGUUUACAUUGUGCAGAAAAUUCAAUUUGGUGUCCAGUUGGUGUUACAUCUCUAGAGUUCCUUUGAAUGGCAUACGUGUUAUGCAAAGCCUAUUCACAAUAAUAAUCGAUGUGGUGCUCUUUUCAUGAGAUACGAGCAUAUGAUUAAACAAAAUAAUUAAAAAAAAAAAAAAAAAUUGUACCUGUGGAGUGAAACGGUGAGCACAUUUAUUUCUGAAUGGCACACAACCGCACAGCACCUGCCUACCUAUUAGAUUGGCUAUUCUCUUUGAUUUUGCCGAUUAUUAUUCCUGUCUCGUUUUUCCCUAUUUUUAUUUCGUCUCACUUACCAUCCCUCUUACGCUCUCUAUCUGUCCACCCGUCUCUGGCCACGGUCACUUCCGCGGACUGUCUGUGGAAUCUACUACACCAUAAAUUAAUAAAGGAGUAUUUUUCGCAUCAAAUUCAACUCAAAUGAAAGACUCAUCCACCUAAUAAUAUAUUUAAAAAAAAAAAAACGGCUUUUAUACUAUCGAAGGGAAGGACACAAGAAAAUCCAAAUUCAAAUUGAAAACAAAAUCUCAUUGAAUAAAAAAAAAUAACAUUUAUUAUAUAUAAAAUAGUUAACAUAUAUAGUUGCCUGAAAAAAGAAUUUAGUCAAGAAUAAGUAUAGGGUGAACUGAGAAAGCUGAAAAUGAAUCAAACCAAAAUUCAUGUAAAAUUAUUUUAUCAUUUGUUGGUUUGGCUCCGAAAUCGUUAUGACGCCAUAAAAAAUGAAGGGAGAGAGAAAAAAAAACGACAUUGGGUUAAUCAAGAGAUUUUUACCAAGUGGAUCGAUCCAACUAAUUUACAAACCAUACCUGUGGCUGCUCGCAUUGAUUUAACAGAAUGAAACCAAUAUUUUUUAAUACUUUUUUUCAUCUUCUUUAUUGCCGUUGGGAUAAAAAAAAAAGCACAACAAAUCAUAUAACACCAAUCCGAUUGCAUUCACAUUUUUAAUAAAUUGUCUAUUGAAAUAGAAAAAUAAACAAAAACAAAAAUAGCAACAAGAAUACAUCCACAAAACACAGUGCUAGCAACUUGUAUCGAAAGCAAUUCAAAGCAAAUAAAAUAGCAGUGGCUAAGUGAACAAAAAAAAAAGAAGAAAAAGAAAUACUGCGCAAAGGCCGAAAACCAACCAAACAACAAAUGAGAUAAAGCAAAUUUUGUUCAAAUAUCCGAUGAAGAGGAAACAGUUAACUUGAGGUUCAUUUCUGUUGUGAAUUUUAAAUGAAAUGUUCGAAGGCUUUUAUACUCUUAUAUAUUUUAUAGAAGUUUUUUUUUCGUUUUAUGCUUUGCAUAGAAGUUUUUCAAAGGACAUUUAUUGACAUUUGAAUUUUGCUAGCUUGUAUUUCGUUGAAAUUGAUAUUUUGUUUGUCGUUCUUUGAUUUGUAAUCAUGCGACAUGGAUAUAUUUUAAUCUAGGAAUGUAAGAAACUAAGCGCCAUCCGAAUAAAAGAAAAUGAAAAUACACAGACACACACACACACACACACAAGGAAAAAACAUGGAAAUGUUCCAUUCAAAUGGAAAAUUGAGUCCUAUGGGAGAAAUUGGAGUGCGAAUAUUUAACAUGAUUUUGAGCAUGAGCAUGAAACUCAUUCCCAAUAAUAUCACGAUAUUUACUGACUGAAAUAAUCGGUGCAAAGCAGAGUGACACACACAUAGAUUUUCCCUCCUCAUUUUAAUUUGUUUCUGCGAUAGUCUAUUCGCAUUCAAUAUUUACUAGAAUGGACAUAUUUCAUUUAUUUUGGAGUGUUUCAUGUUCGUUGUUAUUUCAGUGACAGCCAAAUUCUGUUAAACACAUUUAAAUCAUGGUCUUUUGUCAAUUAAAAUAUAAAACUGCAUACAUCACCAUUAGUUAAAGAAUUGAAACUUCAAUCCAAACAAACGAAAAAUGGAGAAAAAAGACAUACGGAAAUUCAGAAAAUAGAAACCCAAUAUCUCAAUACAUACCAACCAAUUACCAAACUAAGAAGCAUGCCGAAACAAUGGCAAGCGAAUGGAACAGAGAAUAAGCACAAGAGUAGAAGACGGUCAACAACCAAGUAUUAACUAACGCACAUAGUAAAUUUUACUUAAGAUGUUAUUUCAUUAAUUGAAAAAAAUACGGAGAAAAAAAAAAAAAGCAAAUGUACAGAAAAUUGUAAUUAUUGUUAAAGAACUUUAUUUCUAAAUGAGCAUCGGACUUCAAAUACAGAGAGCCACCAUGAGCAAACAACCAACAAAUAAAUAAACCACAACAACAACAACAACAACAACAACAAACAAAGCAAAAGCAUGUGAAUAGCAAAUAAGCCAGAAAAUGAAAUAUGUAAGGGAUUAGAAAGUAAAAAGUGCAGUUUUUUUUUCUGAUAAGACAAACCGCUUGGAAUCUCCAUUCAUUAACAAACGACGCUUAUACAACAAAUGCGAACAACGCACAAACGCGUUCGAUCCAACGGAGAUCCAGCAUCUUUGUGGAAUCCUCUAAGUAAAGUUUUCCGUUCAAUAUGAAGUGAGAAACCGCACAAAUCUUACGGGCAUAAAGCUCGGUCAUUUCCAUUCAAGUCAUUUCGUUUGAAUGUCUUUGAAUUUUCCCAAUACAAAUUCAGAACAAAAAACAUAUACACAAAAGCCUAACGAAACAAUAAACAGACGUGUCGACACCUAACAUUGUUGACAAAUGUGAAUAUUAUUAAUACAAAUUUAAAACAUACAAAAAGAUGAUAGACACCAUCAAUAAUCGAUUAUUUGUACAGCUUGUGGUCAAAGUUCAUCUAAGACAGAAUAAUUCCAAAAUUGUUAAAUUGUGAACUUGUGUGGAGAUGCGACGAAUUGUGUGGAGAUAGUCUAGAACAGUUCCUAAAAGCAUGUGUACUUAUAGUAAUCAUUGCGCGCGCGCACAUUUGUAGGCUUACCAUUGUAUCUGUUUUCGUUUAUCUCCACACCACACAACUCAACAAAUCUCCGCACAAGUCCAUAGUGUUCAACCAUACGAUUUCUUGGACUAAGGUGACCAACUCCUCCAGAAAAAAAAUCCGUACAUUUUUCAAUUUGUAUGGAUUUUUCGGUUCAACUGGCAAAAAUUGUUUAAAAAAUCCGUACAAAUCCGUUUAAAGUAUUUAGUUCACGAAAAAAAUCAGUACUGCACGGAUUUUUGGACGAAAAAGCCCAAAAAAUCCGUACGGUUGGUCACCUUAUCUUAGGCCAAAUCGGCUCGCGACACAUAUUUCUACAAUACGAAUACAUCGAUUUAAAUACUUAGAAAACCACAUGCCAGUGCUAACAGAAAAAAAAAAACUUGACACAUAAAAUAAUUUGCACCUAUUUCAUAAAUCAUUAUCGAUUUGUCUAACCCCCGAAAAACAACAACAACAAAUGGCACCAAAACGCAGUACAGUUUUGAUUUUGUUUCCCAUUUAAUUUAUAUGCUACGUCGAGUAAUGAAGGGUAGAAACGUAGAUUGUUACCGAAAGAAAGAAGAAAAGAAGACAGAAGGAAAGAGAAAAGAAAAGAGAGAUGUUGAAACAUUAUUAUAGUUUAAAGAAAUUAAUAAUUGAAUAGAGAGCUAUAUAAACAAUUAAUCGACGUAAAUUUAGAUUAUUUGAAGGGUAAAACAAUAAAUAUCUAUAUGAAAAAAAAAAA